UGUAAAUAUAGUUUAAUCAAAACAUUAGAUUGUGAGUCUAAUAAUAGAACCUAAACCUUCUUAUUUACC
RNAcentral lists this transfer RNA (69 nucleotides) under Hipposideros bicolor. RNAcentral's name for it is "tRNA-His". It matches the Rfam family "tRNA". From Rfam's summary of the family: Transfer RNA (tRNA) molecules are approximately 80 nucleotides in length. Their secondary structure includes four short double-helical elements and three loops (D, anti-codon, and T loops). The record is from RNAcentral. Lineage: Eukaryota; Metazoa; Chordata; Mammalia; Chiroptera; Hipposideridae.